UACGGGGGGGGCAAGCGUUGUUCGGAAUUACUGGGCGUAAAGGGCUCGUAGGCGGCCAACUAAGUCAGACGUGAAAUCCCUCGGCUUAACCGGGGAACUGCGUCUGAUACUGGAUGGCUGGAGUUUGGGAGAGGGAUGCGGAAUUCCAGGUGUAGCGGUGAAAUGCGUAGAUAUCUGGAGGAACACCGGUGGCGAAGGCAGCUCGCUGGGACGUUACUGACGCUGAGACGCGAAAGCGUGGGGAGCAAACGGG
RNAcentral lists this ribosomal RNA (253 nucleotides) under uncultured bacterium. RNAcentral describes it as "partial 16S ribosomal RNA". It matches the Rfam family "Bacterial small subunit ribosomal RNA", at positions 524 to 776 of the family's 1533-position model. The record is from RNAcentral.